This 253-nucleotide ribosomal RNA is filed under the name uncultured prokaryote. RNAcentral's name for it is "partial 16S ribosomal RNA". It matches the Rfam family "Bacterial small subunit ribosomal RNA", at positions 525 to 777 of the family's 1533-position model. The record is from RNAcentral.
ACGUAGGGUGCGAGCGUUGUCCGGAAUUAUUGGGCGUAAAGAGCUCGUAGGCGGUCUGUCGCGUCGAAUGUGAAAACUCGGGGCUCAACCCCGAGCUUGCAGUCGAUACGGGCAGGCUAGAGUUCGGCAGGGGAGACUGGAAUUCCUGGUGUAGCGGUGAAGUGCGCAGAUAUCAGGAGGAACACCGGUGGCGAAGGCGGGUCUCUGGGCCGAUACUGACGCUGAGGAGCGAAAGCGUGGGGAGCGAACAGGA